AGAUUAAGUUAUUAAGGGCGCACGGUGGAUGCCUUGGCACUAGAAGCCGAUGAAGGACGUUACUAACGACGAUAUGCUUUGGGUAGCUGUAAGUAAGCGUUGAUCCAGAGAUUUCCGAAUGGGGGAACCCAGCAUGAGUUAUGUCAUGUUAUCGACAUGUGAAUUCAUAGCAUGUCAGAAGGCAGACCCGGAGAACUGAAACAUCUUAGUACCCGGAGGAAGAGAAAGAAAAAUCGAUUCCCUGAGUAGCGGCGAGCGAAACGGGAAGAGCCCAAACCAACAAGCUUGCUUGUUGGGGUUGUAGGACACUCUAUACGGAGUUACAAAAGAACAUGUUAGACGAAUCAUCUGGAAAGAUGAAUCAAAGAAGGUAAUAAUCCUGUAGUCGAAAACAUAUUCUCUCUUGAGUGGAUCCUGAGUACGACGGAGCACGUGAAAUUCCGUCGGAAUCUGGGAGGACCAUCUCCUAAGGCUAAAUACUCUCUAGUGACCGAUAGUGAACCAGUACCGUGAGGGAAAGGUGAAAAGUACCCCGGAAGGGGAGUGAAAGAGAACUUGAAACCGUGUGCUUACAAGUAGUCAGAGCCCGUUAAUGGGUGAUGGCGUGCCUUUUGUAGAAUGAACCGGCGAGUUACGAUCUGAUGCAAGGUUAAGCAGCAAAUGUGGAGCCGCAGCGAAAGCGAGUCUGAAUAGGGCGUUGAGUAUUUGGUCGUAGACCCGAAACCAGGUGAUCUACCCUUGGUCAGGUUGAAGUUCAGGUAACACUGAAUGGAGGACCGAACCGACUUACGUUGAAAAGUGAGCGGAUGAACUGAGGGUAGCGGAGAAAUUCCAAUCGAACUUGGAGAUAGCUGGUUCUCUCCGAAAUAGCUUUAGGGCUAGCCUCAAGUGAUGAUUAUUGGAGGUAGAGCACUGUUUGGACGAGGGGCCCCUCUCGGGUUACCGAAUUCAGACAAACUCCGAAUGCCAAUUAAUUUAACUUGGGAGUCAGAACAUGGGUGAUAAGGUCCGUGUUCGAAAGGGAAACAGCCCAGACCACCAGCUAAGGUCCCAAAAUAUAUGUUAAGUGGAAAAGGAUGUGGCGUUGCCCAGACAACUAGGAUGUUGGCUUAGAAGCAGCCAUCAUUUAAAGAGUGCGUAAUAGCUCACUAGUCGAGUGACACUGCGCCGAAAAUGUACCGGGGCUAAACAUAUUACCGAAGCUGUGGAUUGUCCUUUGGACAAUGGUAGGAGAGCGUUCUAAGGGCGUCGAAGCAUGAUCGCAAGGACAUGUGGAGCGCUUAGAAGUGAGAAUGCCGGUGUGAGUAGCGAAAGACGGGUGAGAAUCCCGUCCACCGAUUGACUAAGGUUUCCAGAGGAAGGCUCGUCCGCUCUGGGUUAGUCGGGUCCUAAGCUGAGGCCGACAGGCGUAGGCGAUGGAUAACAGGUUGAUAUUCCUGUACCACCUAGUAUCGUUUUAAUCGAUGGGGGGACGCAGUAGGAUAGGCGAAGCGUGCUGUUGGAGUGCACGUCCAAGCAGUAAGGCUGAGUGUUAGGCAAAUCCGGCACUCAUAAGGCUGAGCUGUGAUGGGGAGAGGAAAUUGUUUCCUCGAGUCGUUGAUUUCACACUGCCGAGAAAAGCCUCUAGAUAGAUAACAGGUGCCCGUACCGCAAACCGACACAGGUAGUCAAGAUGAGAAUUCUAAGGUGAGCGAGCGAACUCUCGUUAAGGAACUCGGCAAAAUGACCCCGUAACUUCGGGAGCAGGGGUGCUCUUUAGG
This 1760-nucleotide ribosomal RNA is filed under the name Listeria monocytogenes. RNAcentral describes it as "bacterial LSU rRNA". It matches the Rfam family "Bacterial large subunit ribosomal RNA", at positions 1 to 1759 of the family's 2925-position model. The record is from RNAcentral. Lineage: Bacteria; Bacillati; Bacillota; Bacilli; Caryophanales; Listeriaceae.